RNAcentral lists this transfer RNA (71 nucleotides) under Trichechus manatus latirostris (Florida manatee). RNAcentral's name for it is "tRNA-Arg (TCT) (tRNA-Arg-TCT-21-1)". It matches the Rfam family "tRNA". Rfam says of the family: Transfer RNA (tRNA) molecules are approximately 80 nucleotides in length. Their secondary structure includes four short double-helical elements and three loops (D, anti-codon, and T loops). The record is from Rfam by way of RNAcentral. Lineage: Eukaryota; Metazoa; Chordata; Mammalia; Sirenia; Trichechidae.
ACAUUGGUGGUUCAGUGGUAGAAUUUUCGCCUUCUAUGCAGGAGACCUGGGUUUGAUUCCCAGCCAAUGCA